GCCGUGGUAGUGUGAUUGGUAAGCACAACAGACCGGAUAUUUGUUAGUGCGGGUUCGAGCCCCGUCUGAAGUU
Molecule: transfer RNA, 73 nt
Filed under: Dictyocaulus viviparus (bovine lungworm)
Lineage: Eukaryota; Metazoa; Nematoda; Chromadorea; Rhabditida; Metastrongylidae
Rfam family: tRNA
About the family: Transfer RNA (tRNA) molecules are approximately 80 nucleotides in length. Their secondary structure includes four short double-helical elements and three loops (D, anti-codon, and T loops). Further hydrogen bonds mediate the characteristic L-shaped molecular structure. tRNAs have two regions of fundamental functional importance: the anti-codon, which is responsible for specific mRNA codon recognition, and the 3' end, to which the tRNAs corresponding amino acid is attached (by aminoacyl-tRNA synthetases). tRNAs cope with the degeneracy of the genetic code in two manners: having more than one tRNA (with a specific anti-codon) for a particular amino acid; and 'wobble' base-pairing, i.e. permitting non-standard base-pairing at the 3rd anti-codon position.
Source: Rfam by way of RNAcentral